Molecule: long non-coding RNA, 712 nt
Organism: Clupea harengus (Atlantic herring)
Lineage: Eukaryota; Metazoa; Chordata; Actinopteri; Clupeiformes; Clupeidae
Source: Ensembl
CCUGUGUGCACUCAACCUACACACACACACACACACUCAACCUACGGUAUUUCACAGACAUGCAACUUUCAAAUCCUAAUGAUCAUCUAAUCUCAGUUGUCUGCUUGUGAGAAGGGUGACUCAUUCCUUCAGAGAGGAAGAGGGAAGGAGUACCUACCUGCUGCCAGUGGCAGCAAAUUGCAGAGGAGUUAUAUCAGAAGUCUCAGUUUCCCCAUUGCCUGGGUGCCAUUGAUGGGAAACACAUCAUCAUACAGCUACCAGCACACAGCAGAAGCAACUUCUGCAACUACAAAUGACGCUCCUCCUUGCAGAUGAUAGCUGUUGUUGAUGCGACAUACCAAUUCAGGUUUUGGUUUCAGGAGAUUUCAAAUUAAGGUCCAUGAGGUAGUCACCUGGAAUGGUUUCCCAACAGUCUUGAAGGAGUUCCCAGAGGUGUUGAGGACUUGUCUGCUUUUCCUUCACUCUGCAGUUCAACACAUCCCAAAUCAUUUCGUGUGGGUUAAGGUUGGGUGAUGGUGCAGGCCAGGUCUCGCCUUCUGUGCGUCUCACAAAGACAUGGCAGUUGGAACCAAAAAUCUCAGAUUUGGACUCAUCAGACCAAAGUAAAGAUUUCCACUGGUCUAAUGUCUAUUACUUGUGUUUCUUGGCCCCAGUGUUAAUUUCGUUGAGGGAAAUAUGCGUUAACGACCUUUUUCCCAUGACUAAGCCAUGA